ACAGAAGACGAAGAGCUGGAAUAGAGCUCGCCUCGGCUCUGCUGGCCUUGGCUGCAGCUCUUCCAGAAACCCGGGGCGCCCACAGAAGAAUCUCUUACCUGGCUCUCUCUUCAGGGAUGACAUCAUCGGCUCACACCAGUCUUCCAGGACCACCUUCUGGAUGCCAAGGCUGCUGCUCGAGUACCUGCUGUGCACCUCUACCUCCUGGUACCCCAGCCACUCCCUCAAGUUGCCUGCAUGUUAUAUGGCCUAGCCAAGGAGCACGGAUUCCAGGAACCCACUACCAUACAGAGCAACUCCUUGUGGACCCCCCUGGGAUCAGGACAGCGAGGGACAAGCGACAAAGAGGAUCAUCAGUGGCCAGCUAGUUUCUCUGGGGUUCAAACCUUGAACCAGUGCCCUAGUGAGGGGGCACUGGCCAUGGCCCUUGACCUUUGCUCUGCUUGUGUCUUGAGUCUGAGCCCUUUCCUGUACAUCUGUGCUCGUGUUCAUCUGCUAGUGAACUGGAGUGCUGCCCUCCCCGAGGAGGGUCGUCCCUUGUGACUGAUCAUGCUGUCCUAACAAUGUCCUGAGCAAAAGGGUCCCUUUGGGAACCUCUCAGGAGGGGGACCCGGGUCAGGGGCGACCAGCAUCUUGCUGGCAACUCCGUGGGUGGGGUGGGGUGGGGUGCUUCCUUCUGGAAUGAGCACGUGGCUGACCCCCCAAGGCAUGUCCCCUCCCCCUCCUCCACCCACCUUCUCGGAGAUGUCCCUUUUGGGGUAGUGGGGACAUUAGGAGCAACCUCCUAGGGUUGUUGUGAGAAUUAAAUGAACUGCAGCAGCCUGAGGCAGGGCUGGGCAGAGACCUCAGCACAUGUUUGUUGAAAGGUUUGCAGGUGGAUCUAGUCCUCCCGUUCAUGGCUCAUGUGUCUCAACCAUUCUCUCGCAGACUCCUGCAGCCCCUAUGCCCAGGGCUCUCCUUGCGCCAGAGGUAGGUGGGAAAGAGAACUGGGAGAGCCCGGACUCACUCAUGAGAUUGAACUUAAAUUCACACGGAGGACACUUGGACUCUUGCCACAUUAGCCCCGGCUUCUCGAGGCCUGUCUACACUCGCUGCUUUCCUUCCUCACCUCCAAUUUCCCCUCCAACCCACUGCUUCCUGACUCGCUCUUCUCCAUCGAACGGCUCUCGCUCAGCUGGCAUUGCCCACCGGCCAUGCCGGCUGAAGAAAAGAAGACUGAGGACCCCAGGAUGCCCAGCGCGAGGACCCCAGGAAGCCCAGCGCGAGGACUCCACCCACGACGCCCAGCGCGAGGACUUCACGCACAACACGUUGCAACCCUCCUGGAUUAGGCCAAAGCCAUCAUCUGGAAUCCUGCGUGGGACCCUGGACACACGGACACAGACACCUGCCCCCAGGACCCUCCAACUGUAAAUCGAUUGGAAGCGCCCUUGUGAGCUGGGGCCUUCAAAGGGCUGAGGAGAAAAUGCAGGCCGAGAGACCAGCUUCUCAAAUAGGCUUCAAGCCUCCAUGACCUGAGCUCACCCCCUGGAAAUGUCUGGAAAACAUAAUGGGCAGGUUUUCUGUCUUCAAAGUUUCCAUCAAAACCUCUUCAAGUUCUUUAUUGUUUAGGACUGAGACACUUGGGGACAGUAAUGGGGACUUUCUUUUGUAUCUGUCUUGAAAGGCCAAAAUAUUUUUAUAUUGCUGUAGACAAAGCCACCUAUUUACAAAUGGACUCUUGUUCCGUCGUUUCCCACCAGGAAGACCGUACUAUGUUUGUGUCUCUAUGUAUUCUGGGGUCUUGAAACAGGUUUCUCAUGGGGAUGGCCAUUCACUAGAGCCCAGAGGGGCAGAAGGGGAAGUGUCUACCCUGCCAAGGGGGUCUGGGGAAGGAGGGGGGCUAGUCUCAGAUUUGCUCCUUGUAUGUCUAGGGUAAACCCUGGGAGAAUCUGGUGGUAAAAGAACAUAUGCUGUGUUUGCCCCACA
Molecule: long non-coding RNA, 1968 nt
Filed under: Mus musculus (house mouse)
Lineage: Eukaryota; Metazoa; Chordata; Mammalia; Rodentia; Muridae
Description: maternally expressed 3
Rfam family: Maternally expressed 3 conserved region 2 (bases 564-665)
Source: RNAcentral